Molecule: ribosomal RNA, 255 nt
Filed under: uncultured bacterium
Lineage: Bacteria
Description: partial 16S ribosomal RNA
Rfam family: Bacterial small subunit ribosomal RNA
Source: RNAcentral
UACGUAGGGGGGCUAGCGUUGUCCGGAAUCAUUGGGCGUAAAGCGCGCGUAGGCGGCCCGGUAAGUCCGCUGUGAAAGUCAAAGGCUCAACCUUUGAAUGUCAGCGGAUACUGCCAGGCUAGAGUCCGGAAGAGGCGAGUGGAACUCCUGGUGUAGCGGUGGAAUGCGCAGAUAUCAGGAAGAACACCAACGGCGAAGGCAGCUCGCUGGGACGGAACUGACGCUGAGGCGCGAAAGCGUGGGGGAGCGAACAGG